Molecule: non-coding RNA, 21 nt
Filed under: Rattus norvegicus (Norway rat)
Lineage: Eukaryota; Metazoa; Chordata; Mammalia; Rodentia; Muridae
Source: RNAcentral
CUAGAAUCCUUCAUUUAGUGC